Penaeus chinensis is the source of this 315-nucleotide long non-coding RNA. RefSeq lists it as uncharacterized. The transcript has 3 exons. NCBI's taxonomy places the organism in Eukaryota, Metazoa, Arthropoda, Malacostraca, Decapoda, Penaeidae. The record is from RefSeq and is a predicted model, not a curated record.
CGACGACGCGGGAAACCAGCUCGCAGUCACCAACUCGACAGAGGUUCCAAUCCACCACGUCUUCACUAAGGAGGGAGGCAUCACGCUCCUGGUCAGCGCUUACUCCGAGGCCGAGGGCUGGGUGGCGCAGGAUCCGCCCCUCACCGUGGAGAUCAUGAGCAAGAUCCAGGGGCUGCAGUUUACGGACUUCAACCUUAUCACGCCCACGAACCAGACGAAGAGCUUCGGCGCCUCCUUCACGGUGCUGCAUCCUGUCACCUGCCUCGUCGUGGACUUCAACGACGGCUCGCCCCCGGAGGCCCACGGCGACACCAC